UACGGGGGGAACGAGCGUUGUUCGGAUUACUGGGCGUAAAGGGCACGCAGGCGGGAAAGCAAGUCAGGUGUGAAAUCUCUCAGCUUAACUGGGAGCCUGCAUUUGAUACUGCUUUUCUUGAGUACGAGAGAGGAUGGCGGAAUUCUUGGUGUAGCGGUGAAAUGUGUAGAUAUCAAGAAGAACACCGGUGGCGAAGGCGGCCAUCUGGCUCGAUACUGACGCUCAGGUGCGAAGGUCGGGGGAGCAAACAGGAUUAGAUACCCCCUGUAGU
This 271-nucleotide ribosomal RNA is filed under the name uncultured bacterium. RNAcentral describes it as "partial 16S ribosomal RNA". It matches the Rfam family "Bacterial small subunit ribosomal RNA", at positions 524 to 794 of the family's 1533-position model. The record is from RNAcentral.